Molecule: non-coding RNA, 1044 nt
Organism: Misgurnus anguillicaudatus (oriental weatherfish)
Lineage: Eukaryota; Metazoa; Chordata; Actinopteri; Cypriniformes; Cobitidae
Source: RefSeq, a predicted model, not a curated record
UAAUGCCGAAUUGCGCAUCACGAUCUUACCUUGAAAAUUAAGAUUUAUGGCCUUUUUGGACAGACAGAGCUCUCAUGUUAUUAGGAGCAAAGGUGGAGUCCUCCAUGAAAAACUAAGGACACUAUUAAAGUUAUGGAUCAGAGUCUGGACAUAGACAUCAGAAGAGAAAGCCUGCUGAAGUGCCUGAUUCAUGUACUUUGGUGAAGAUGCAAGCUGUCUGAUCAAAGAAUACCAGGCUGACCAGAGGGAAGAAGCGGAGAGGGAAUUCAAAAAGACCACCAUGGAAUUUUUUGUGAUCCGUGAAAGUGAUGCUCUUAAUCCUGCACUGGACAUUUCCAUUUUCAUUGACGGUGUGGAGUAAUAAAUGAGUUGCCCUCUUUUGCAUGUGCAUGUUUGGACUCAUUUGAACUGAACUUAAAACAUCCUGAUGGACUCAAAUAUAACUUUUAAAGCCUUUCAAAAAAAUGUCAUGGAUGUGGACAGUAAGCAGAUGAGCCGAAGGGUGCAGAACCCCUCUUCAAAACUGCAGGAGUACAUUUUUUCCUUUGACCCAGCUACUGAAGGUAAUUUUUUUGAGCCUUUUAUACAACAUUAACUGUAAUACUGUUUACUAAACCUGAUUUGUUUUAUCUUGAUUGUUUAUCUAUCAACCAUAACUGAUUCUUAUUUAGAAUUUACAUUUUAUCCAGUGUGUCUACAAAUACUAAAAACUGUUAUACAUUAAGUGUUUUUAUAACAAUACUAUACACAUUGUUGAAGUGUUUUAUGACAAAUUGUCAUGAUUAUAAUGUGUUUACAUUGUAAGAUAGUGUGUAUUUGUACAAAAAUGUGUAUUAUGACAAAAUAAAUUGUCAAAAGUUUGAUGCUUGAAGUCAUUCAUCUUAGACAGAUGGUAAAAUUACACAUUUUGAAAGUAAAUAAUUUUUUUUAUAUUAAAUUAAUAUUUUAAAUUGUAUUUGGUUGGAUAUUUGGUUAGAUGUAAAGUAAAACUUUUGCGUCAACUUGUUACAACUAAUUACUUUACUUUUUAUCAACCUAAAAUUU